UUAGCUGAUAUUUGUAUGGAAUGGGAUCGUUUGCCUACGUUUGCCGCUAGGGGCGCUGUUCCAACUGCAUACAAAAUUGGGUUA
Molecule: microRNA precursor, 84 nt
Filed under: Bombyx mori (domestic silkworm)
Lineage: Eukaryota; Metazoa; Arthropoda; Insecta; Lepidoptera; Bombycidae
Description: mir-2807 microRNA precursor family
Rfam family: mir-2807 microRNA precursor family
Source: Rfam by way of RNAcentral